UAUUGAUAUUUCCAUUGUCUAAAUUACAUAUAUUAUUUCUUCCUCCUUACAACUAGCAAGCCAUUAGGAUAGGAAGAAUAAUCACGACGUACGCUCCUUUGGAUGAACCAUCCUGAUCAAAGGAUAAUCACAACAGAAAGGCAGGAGUAUUUCUCUCUCUGUUUUCGAUUUCUUUCCUAAAAGCUAUUUUUCUUAUUUUCUUGUCUAGUUUUGGAAAAUGAAGUUUCUUGAGCCUGCCUGAUUAGGUUUCCAUCCUUUGGAUGAACCAUCCUGAUCUAUGAAUCCAGACCUGCUUUUUCCUUUUCCUUUUAUUUUUUUAUUGGCUGUUAGCAUAUAUAAUUCAUGUCUUGGUUGACUAGUUUCUUUUGGUAAGUGGGAUCAUAGAGCACUAUGUACAUCCCUCAGAAAGUUUAUGCCAUCUUUGGUUUUGAACGAGAGAAUUAACCUUUUUAGACAAUUCUUUUCAGCUUUGUUUGAAUUAAUAAAAUUGAAUAACUGGCUUGGAAUUUCUAGAUAAGUGACUUUUGAGAGGUAGUAUAUUUGAAACAUAUCUCUUACAUGGUUGGGGACUGUCCAUUUUAGUGUUUACUCUUCAGCAUCAAUGUGAGAAGCUAUCGAGAUUUAUAUACCUUAUAAGAAAGUGGAAUUCAUCCUUUCCACUCCAAGAAAUAAUUCAUAAAUUUCGAAUUCCUAAAAAUUAUACAUAUAUACAUAAUUCAACUCUAAUAAAAAAGAAAAAUCCAAAUACCACCGUUGAAUCCACCAACCAAAAUCAAACCCAAAUUGGAGUUGGACUGAGAGAAAGAGGCUUUGUCAUGUUGAGAGCAAAAAAGACGUUUCGAUAGUGAGAGGAGAAGAAAGGGAGAGAAAGGGGACUGAGAGAAAGAAAAGAGAGGGAUGAAACGAAGAGGAAGGUGGGGGAAGAAGAAAAGAUAAGAAAUGGUAGGUCAAACCAAAACAACUUAAACCACUAAAAUUGUUAAUUAAAAAUUGAUAAAUAAAUGUGAUUAUAUAUUUUCGAAUUAAUUAUCAAAUAACAUUAUUAUUAUUAUUAUUAUAGUUGGUUUUGUUAUUUUUUAAAUAUAAUAACGUCUAAUAUAAUUUAUCAUUAUUGGUCUCAAUCUGGCGAAGUCAUGGAUGCCGUUGUGGUUGAAAUUUUGAUACCAUAUAGACUUUUUGUGAACUUUCUGAUUGUCAUGGCAUAAACCAAGAAUUGUUUUCCUUCAUUUUGCAUACAGAUUAUUGUUUCCUUAUCUGUUUUAAAUUGUGUUGAAGUGAUGUUCUAGUAUAAUAUUUUUUUUCAUCUUUUAAAAUUUCAAAAUCGAUCAUACAAUCAAUCGUUCGAUUUUGCUGACUUUUGUAAGUUUUCACUCGAUACACCAAAAUUAUUUGUCUACAUAUGUGAUAUAAUAGUUUUCCCAUUUUUUUUUUUUUUUUGCAGUGGACCAAUAAUUGAUUGCUUCCAUUUUCUUGCAAACUCUUUUCUCGUUUUCUAUAUCAAAAUCAUCGGUGCUACAGUUGUCUUUCUUUUCGUUUAAAAUUUACGUCUAGAUGAUGUUUAAUAAUAUAUUAAUUGUUUCAUCUUUUAUAAUUUCAAUAAUGAUCGCACAAGCAAUCGUUCGAUUUUGGUGAGCUUUUGUGAAUUUUCACUCGAUAACCAAAAUUAUUUGUCUUGAUGCGACGAUGUUAGUUUUUCUUUUUUGCAAUAAACCAAGAAUUGUUUUUUUUUCCAAUUUUCUUUCCAACUCUUUUUUUUUUUUAUACGUCAAAGUCAUCGAGCUACAUAUGAUUGUUACCCUUUUUAUUUUAAGAUUCUGUGGAGGUGAUGUUUAUUUAAUUUUUUUAAUCUUUUAAAAUUUCAAUAUUGGUCUUACGAGGAAUCGUUCGAUUGUGGUAAACUUCCGUGAAUAUUCAUCGGUAGACCAAAAUUGUUUGUCCAAAUGCGAUGAUGUUAUAUUUUUGUCAUCCUCAAUCUCACCUGUUAAUUCCGCACAAUUUCGACAGACUUUCGUAAGUACUGUUACCGUAAACCAACAGUGGAAAGUGCAUAUCUAGUUUUCAUAUAUUUCUAUGUUUCCUUUGUUAUAAUGUGAUCAUGUCAUAUUAAUUAGAAAAAAGAAUUUGAAAGGAAUUUAGGGAAAAAAUUUUUUGCCACACAACUUACCUGAAUAUAUCACCUUAUCAAAGUACAAUGACGAUAAAUUUAAAGCUUAACUUAAUUGAUUCAUUAGUUAAUUUUAAGAAAUGAUAAAAGUUUAAAAUUUAAAUUUUAAUAUAUAUAAUUUGUUUUUUUUAAUAUACAAAUAUGACUUUUUUUAUCGAAAAAGAAAGUAUAGUGACAAUGUAGAAUGUCACUUGAAAGGGUUAAUUACUUUUAUCAUUGAGUGGCAAAAAAAAAAUUAUUGAUCAUGAAAUAUUUUUAUAAAAAGAACAAAUCUGGAAAAAUUAAGUGAAAACAAGGUAAUUUACUCUAAAACAGACAAGACAAUUUACUCUAAAAAAGAAGGGGAAUAGAGCCAAUUUUUGAAAAUUUCAAUUAAAUUUGAUUUUUCUACUUUUGGCCUACCCACUUUAUUACAAUAUUUGUAACUCUCUUUUGCAAUAUGAUGAUGAUUUUUGUAAUAUUAAUUGUUUAAGAAUUUACAUUUUACUAUUUUUAAAAAUUUAUAUUUGAUAAUAUUACAUUAUUAUUAAUAUUAUCAAUGAAUAAAGGGGUUGGCAAUUCGGAGUGUUCAUAGAUCACAUGAACCACAAUUUGUCACCUCAUCAUUCGAAAUAUUUUUAAAAUGUUUAUUAUUUUAUGAUUCAUGAUUUACUUAAAUGUAUAUAUUUAUAUCCUAAAAAUGUAUCAAAUAUAAAUGCACUUUUAAAAUAUGAUUUUCAUCAUGAAAAAAUGUCGUUGGUGAAAUGUUUAUAAUUAUUUAAGGGUUUAAUAAGAGUAGCUUCUCCGCUUACUGUAAAUUCAUUUUAAUAGAAGUUCAUUAUAAAAUAUAGAUCAUACAUUGUUUGAUCAAGCCAUUGCCAAGUUUAGGUGAAGCCAUUUUCAAUCAAACAUUGUUUGAUUGAGUUAAACUUAGGUCGAGUUUCAGUCGUUUACAUAAUUAACUCAAGUUAAGCCAAGCUCAUUAAAGUCGAGCACUAGCAACUUGCUAAGCUUUUUUGCUUACUUUUCUCAUCUUUCUAUACAUUGUAAGUCUUCAAAGUUUUACUUAUUUUAUUUACAUUCAAACUUCUUUUAGUUGUUACUAUUAAAUAGCUAUUAGAAAUAAUUGAAAAUAUUCUAAUUUCAAAAAGAUAGUUAUUUACAUAAGCAAUGCAUUUUCCAUUUAUUCAAAAUAAAAAAAAGCAUAAGGUUUAAUUAAAUUGUUACCAUUGAUGAGAUUUGAGAUUUAAAUAAAAUAACCAAAAGUAAAUGAGCUUUUGAUUCAACGAUUAGUGCAUGUAUUUCACUACUAAUUCAUUAGUCAGGUUUUUUUUUAAAAAAAAUUUCUCUUUAUUUCAGAAAAGGUUUUUGGACACUAUUUAAAUCUUCAUUAUCAAAAUUUUCUAAAUUCAACCUCAUUUUAGUUUCAAUUUAGUACCAAUUAAAAUGCAAAAAAAAAAAAAAUUUGGAAACUUUUAAUGAAGUAAUUUAUAUAUAAAAUUUUAAUUCACUAAAAACAUUUAAAGUAAUUUUAAAUCAAACUUGAAAAUAGUUAACAUUAAAAAUUAACCAAUGAAAACUUUUAUGCAAUGGAAGGAGUGAAAAAAGAAACAAUCGGAAGUCCCAAGGAUGGGAAUAAAUUAAACAUCAUUUCAAAGGCUAAGGUAAAUGAACCUUGGAAGCCCACGCGAUCUGACUCUAUAUAUACAUGAACUCGAGCCCAAAAACGCGGCAACAACAAAACAAGCUCUAGGAAUGAAUAUUGGUCCACCAAACAUGCAAGCAGCAUGCUAUUAGGAAGACGAGGCAAUCUGCACCGGUAAUUAUUGCAAAAAAUCAAAAGGUAUUAUUGUUUCAUCCUUCUAAUAAUAUUUUAUAUUCUCUUUAAUCUUAUUGUUUUGAUUUGUUUUCUAUUACUGUUGUUGGCCUAUUUCCAUGGAUCAUAAUCCUUGACAAUAUCGUUUAGGGUUUUUCCCAGCAAAGGAUGCAAUUGAGGAUGAUUGAAGAAAGCGGCAAAGAAGGGAAAAGGUAAUUUGUCGGAGACAGAUUGAAGUUCUUUUGCUACGAAAACCUGAAUAUCACAAAGUCCGGCCAUGCUUAGCGGCUAUUAAUGUUAAUUCGGAAUAAAAACUUGAAUGAAGAAAAACCCAACAAUGCAAAUAGCUUAUCAGUUCAUUUGCAUUAGAAAGAAGAAAAAAAGAAAACACUGAUGGCUUAAUUUCCAGCCUGAGAGAGGUAAUCUCUCUUCGAUAGGUCUCAAAGUCAAAAGGAUAUUGAGGCAACUAGGUUAAAAGAAAAACGAAGGAAAAAGGCGAGUGGGUGGAAGCCUUCAUAGCCGCCCAGCAGUCAAUAGCUUCUCUACAAAACCAGAUGAGUAAUUAAAGAAAUAGAGAAAAAAAAGCAUCGUACAAUUUAAAAGAACUACUAUAUGAAUUAUGAGUUCAAGCCAAUAUUUUUACUAUUUUCCUCUUUGGAAAUAUUUUUUUCAAAGAUUUUAAAUUUUAACGGUACAUUUGCAAUGAACUUUAUUAUUGGUUUAACUUAUUUUUUGCAAGGGGGAAGAGUGCUUUUGAAUUGUAUGUUAAAUGUCCAAUUUUUACUUAGGCUAAAUUUGGAUUCCAUGGCAUCGGGGUGCGAUGGAAUUUAGGCCUUUUAUUGGGGUCAACUGCAUCAUGAAGUGUAGUUAGAUAGUACCCUAUAGUCCUGUUGAGCAAGUUAAUGGAAAUGGAAUGAAGGGAUCUAGAUGAUAUUGUUAACAGUUAAUGUUCGAUAGUUAUCAUAUAUUAUGGUUCUAUGUUUUAUGAUGGUGUGGUUGAUUCUAUUAUCAACUGAUCAUUACUUAUUAUCUAUCUCUAAAUUUAUAAGUAUAUAUCUUUUUCUUACUUUCUAUGAUAAGUUAUUUAUAUUUUCCUUCAAUACUUAAAGUGUGGUGGGUUUUUUCAUGGUUGAUUAUAUUUUAAAAUUUUGUUUAUAUCUUAGUCGCUCUUGACCAAUCUUGAUAGUUGGAAGAAUGCUUUUCCUUGAUUUAUAUUUAAGUGAUUUUUUAUGCUUAAAUGGAUUUGUACAGGUAUUUUGAUUUUUAUGUUUGCUAGCUAGUCUUAACAAGCUUUGUAACCUUAUGGUUCCUUUAAAAAAUUUUGCCCUAAAAAAAAAAAAACAGUGCUCCUCCAAUUAAAGACUGGACCCUAAGACAAUCGAUUAACUUGCUUCGAGUAAUAGAUUGUAUUAGUAUGAUAUUGAAAUAAAACACAUGCUUUAAUUAUAACAGUCGACUCGCUUUAGUGAUCAGGCAGGGAAACUCUACAUAAAAUCUAAUUGGAUAAAAGAUUGUUUUCUUUUUUUUUUGUUGAUAAAUGUUUGAUUUUUAUGAAAAACAUUUUGAGAAUAAAAUUCUGUAUGCAUUAAAUUAACGUGUGGAAGUGUAUUUUUAAAAUCGUUUAGGGAUUAAAUUAAGUUUAGAUAAAACUUAAGAAUACCUCUAAUAGUGUAAUUAAAAAGAAACAUAUGAAAAAAAAAAAGAAAUUAAGUGAGAAGAUGGAAAGAAAUUUGAUUUUAGUAGAAUUAAUUUAAUUAUUAUUAAAAAAAUUUUUUGAUUAAGCAGCGAGGAAUUAUGGUCUUUGCUUAGCACAUUCCCUUCUUGAAUGAUCUAAGUGGGCUUACUUACGCUAAAUCUAAUGAAUUUGUGAGAAAUUAUCUUAUCAUAUUAUAUGUUAUAUAUUAAAAUUAUAUAUUAAAGGAUAGGUUUAAAUUUAAAAAAACUAAUAACUUGGGUUGGUGAUAAUUUAUAAUAGUUUGGAUUUGUGAUAAUUUGUGAAGUACAUGUGCUUGUGAGAGGAGGAUAAAGUUACAACAAGCUUUAGCAUUUUUAUUUUUAAUAUAUAUUAGAAGUUAGUUUUUUUAUAGUUGAAAUAAAAUGAAUUGUAUUUAUAUUUGUUUUAUUAAUUCUUUCUUGAUUUACUUCAUUAUGAAAAAUGAAAUUCUCAAUUAUUUUUUUGUUGAUUCAUGAAAAAGAUGUGUGUAUUGAUUCUUGAAAUAUUAAUGAUACAUAGAAAAGAAGUGAUUGGUUUACAUAGUAUAAAAUAUUUUUAAUUUUAUAUUUUUUUAAUUAUAGAUUUUAAUAUAUCUAAGGGAUGAAAUUAAACUAUUUUUUUAUUUUUACUUUGUCUCUCGUCCUUAAAUCUAUUAAAAUUAAAGAUUAAAAAAUAUGUAAAAUUAAAAAAAUUAUAAUGCAUAAGUUAAUCCCUCAUAAAAAUAUUUAUAUAUAUCUUUUCAAUAAAAAUUUAUAAAAACAUAUAAUUUACAGAUUAAUGGAAUAUUUUUUAUUUAAUAUUUGCCAUUUUUUUUAAUGAUUCUAAUAUUUUAUUUUGAUAACUUAUUUUGUAAGAAUUAAUAUUUAUUUGUUGAGUUGAAAUUCAUUUUUCUUUUUUUUUAUAAUUUUUUCUAUUUAAUUUUUUAUUGUGUUUGUUCUUUUGGUUAGAUAUUUCAUUUUUUUCAGUUAAUGAAUAAUAUAAUAAUACAUUCAGAAUUAAGAUUCGACUCUAAAUUUUUAAAUCAAAGUCUUAUCUUAGUCAGGUCGGGUCUAUAGGCUUCGACAAGCGAUCCAGCCCUGUAGAAAUCCUUUUUUACUAAAUUAUAUCUAUAUUUAUGAAAUAUAUAUAUAUAAAUAUAUAUAAACUUAAAACCAUUUAAAACUGUGCACAAUCAAUUGAGUACUUGAAUCUUACUCAAAAUUGACAAUAAAUGAGUUGGGUUUAAGUAAUUAAUAGUUAAUGAAUUGAGUUCAGAGUAUUGGGAAAAAUUUAAAAAUUAAAAUAAUUUAUGCUGAAAUAACAUGUUAUAAUAUAUAUACAUAUAUACACUUCAAAUUUUUAGUUAUUUCAGUUCAAUUUCAAAUGAUUCUAGUCCCUUGACUUUGAGUAAGCAGUGUGUGUGUGUUAAACAAUAAAUACUUCUUAUAUCUUCUCAAUAAAAAGUGUAACAAUAAUAUAUUUUGUUAUUAUAUUUGAAAACAGGAUAAAGUAAGUUACAUAACUCUUGGAAGCAGAUUUGAAAUCACCCCAAUCACACUAAAUUUCUACUAACUCACAAGAGAGUAAUUAAAAAUAAAUAGAAAUUAUUAAACCAAAUUUCCUUUUAAAUUCUACUAUAUAUAUAUUUGAAUAUCUGACACUCCAUUAAUCUACCUGCAGGUCAUACGAGAAACUUGGCAAGAAAAAAUCCUUGUCCUUGCUCGGUUUCAUGACAAGUUUCGGUGAGUAUGCAAAGUUUCCCUCUAAAAAAAAAAAAAAAAAAAAAAAAAAAAAAAAAGACAAAACAAAAGGUUCCCAUUAUUAUGCUUGAAAAACCCUUUUCUUAUGUGAAUAUAUAUAUUUUUUUAUUUUUAAUAAUUAAAAUUAUAAUUAAGUGUUGUAAUGAAGUAAAUAUCGAUCGAGAUAGUAUGAAAUAAUUUGAGAAGUGCAUGUAUUACAAUAUUUGAGGUUAAAGUUUGAAUUUAAACUUUAAAAUAUUUAACUGACAAAAAGUUAAUUGAUAAGUAAUUAUGACAUUUUUUUGUGUCUUAUCCAAGGACGGAUUUGCAAAAGCUCCCUUUUGCUAAUAGAAGUUUUUUGCACAUUACUUGUUUAUCCUUUUUUGGCCUCCUUAAUUUUAUAAAGAAGAAAAGUGUACAAUUAAAGCCAAGUGACCAAGUCGUGAUUCGAAUAUAUUUUGCUUAGUAAGGGAAUCAACAAAAUAGUUUGCUUUUCUAAAUAUAUGAAGAAAGGAUAUUUUUUCAAAUUCAGCUUUGAGAUGAAGAAGACGAUUGAUGAUGGCAAUUUUAGCAUUCAACUUUUAUAAACUAUAUUUUUUUAAUUCAUUUAUUCUCAUUAUAUAUAUAUAUAUAUAUAUACACACACUGUAAUAUUCAACAAAAAAGAAAAAUUUAUCUACAUAUAUUUUAUAAUAUAUAGAUAGAUAAUUUACAAUGUUAACAUCAAAAGGGUAAAACUCUAACUAUUUAAUAAUGUAAUUAUUAAACUUUUAAAUUGUGUAUUUUCUAUAAAGGAAUUAGGUAAUAAAUUGGAAGUUUAAAUAUAUAGUAGGCAUCUAGCUAUAAAGAAUUAAAAUCAUAAAGUCUAUGUUCAGAAAAACAUUAUAUAAUUUUGUGUUAAUUUUUCUUAGCUCAUAUAUAUAUAUAUAUAUAAUGUAUUGGCCCCCUCACAUUAAACAUGUGAACUUGAAAGGCAGGUAAGUGGUAGCUUGAAAUUGGAAAUAGAAUAUUCUAUUUAUAUUAAGGAAUAUUCUUCUAAAAAUUUUAAUUAUUUCUUUAAUUUUUAUUGAGCAAAAAAGUACUUUACUUCAUACACCUUGUUUCAUGUCUUUGUUUUCUGUCUUGGCUUCCCCUCUGUAUCAGUUUCUCUUUGUUAGGUUGCUUUCCUUUCAACAUGAAAUCCUUUUUUUUUUUUAUAAACUAGGAAAACAUAUUGUUUCCAUUUUCAAUUGUUCUAUUUUUUUUUUUUACCAACCUUGUUUACUUUCUUCAAGGUCCUAACCUUUUGUACGAAUCCAUUCCUUAUUUUUGCACUCAAGUUGGUGCUUAUUUGUUGUUCUUUUUUUUUCCCCCAAAUUUGCAGCAUGUUUUAAUCUUUUUCUUCUUUUAGUCCAUGUUUUAGGUGACUCUUAACCUUACUAAGCCUCAUUAUCGCGAUUAGAUUUAUUGAAAUUGGAAUCUUGAAUUCUAUGUGUCAUAGAUUUAAUUUUAACAUCAAAAUAUAAAAUUAUUAUAAUUUUUUUCAUAAAUGUAAAAUAUAUAGUAAAAAAUAAUGGCAUUCUGGGUUUUUUUAGAAAGAAUCUAAUUAUUUUUAUUUUGUAUUUAAUUAUUGAUAUUAUCUUUCAAUAGAAUUUGAAAUAAAGUCUUCACUCUAGCUAUUCUUUCUUCUGUCUCACUUAAAAGGAAAAGGGAAAAGCAGCAGAUCAGUUGUUCGAAAAAAACUGUACAAAUCAAGCAUCCAGGUAUAUAUGGUGUGAUUAAUUAUUGAUAAUAUAUUUUUAUAAAAUAAGAUGUUUAUUUUAUGGUUUGGAACAUUCUUUUUGUCUGCCCAAGCAGAAAGCAAAAGAAAUUCUUCAGGUUAAGAUGAUGAAAAAUGGAUUGGCAAAUAAGAUACACGAGAAAAGGGUCAUGGCUGAGUCACUUAAGGCAACCAUAAAAGAUGCAGCAGAAACUGAAACAGAAUAUAGGUUGCUGAAAAUGAGAAGGAAUGAGCUGAUUAGUGGAAUCAAAGGCAUUGUGAGAAUGCGGGCAACGGAGAUGUUGCUGAUGGAGGAGCUCGAUUUGCUUUGAAGCAAAGAUAAACAACCCUAUUCGAGAGUUUGAUAAAUAAAAAAAACUUACUACGCUUUUCCAGGAUUGAUGGAGAUUCGAGUAGGGCUUUAAAAAAAACAUACUAUAUAUAUGUUUGAUGUGAUUGCUUGCUUUGUCUCAGUUUGCUUUUGCCCUUUGUCUGAAAAACCGUUUGGUGGAAUGGCACUAUAAAUAAAACCUCUUUGUUUCGGCAUGUUUAACUUUAAAGAUUGUCCAGUGCUCAUAUACUCUGGGUUGGGCCUUAGUAAUGCAAAUCCAAAAAAUUUUGGAGCAUUGGCUUGGCCGAGGAAGUUCUCUCUCUUCAGCAUACUUAGUAAGAAAAAUUCGGAGGAAUUUGACCCAAAUUCAAGAGUAUUUAACAUAGUAUUAUUUUCAAAUAAUAAGAAAAGUUUUUGAGGAUCUUUUCGGAUUGGGGCUUGAGCUUACAUUUGAUCAUUUAAUGAACAAGUUUAUAUUUGUUUCUAACUUUUUUACAAAAGAAUUCAAAAUUUAAAAAAUAAAAAAUGCUAAUAUUUAAAUUUUAAAUUUAUUAAAUGUUAUUUUUUAAUAAUGAUAUAUCCGAAUAUAGUUAUGGAUGGAUGUGAAGCCGUGCCAAUGCUUAGCUGGGGUGGAUGCGCAGCUGAUUAUCUAUGGACCAUAAAAAAGAAGCAAAAAUAAAGUGUGAUUGCUCCGUGUAUGGUGUUCAAAUAUGUGUGGUAAAAACCAAUGAAAUAUGAAUAUAAAUUUGCUAAGGGUUUUACUGUUGUUGUGUCAUGCGUGCAAGAGGGAUUGAAAUAUAGAUAUAGUUUUACUUUAACAAUAACAGCAAGUUGUUGUUUGUAGGGAAUUGGGAUUCAAUUGAGAUGCUCAAUAGAAUAGAAUUGAAAUGUGAACAAGUUGGAGAUGUACAAAUUUGGUUCUUUCUGUGUUCAUUGAUAUUGUGAGAGGCUACAAAAUUCAUGAUGUUUGUUUCUUUUGCUACUUCAAUAACUGCAUUAUGAUGUUCUGUGGUUUGAAAAACUUAUGAGAGAUUAACUGAUUGUAAUGAGUAAUUAAAGGAUUAGCUUAGCAAAAGUAUUAAAUUUGUUUUUAUUCCUUCUAGGCAUAUUGUUCUAAACAAGAGUAUUAUUUAAAACAAAACUUUGGGCAACAAGCUCAAUGCAAUUUAUUGCAAAAUUACAUGUGGCUGAACUCAAUCCCAAGUCCCAAACCAACUCCUAUAAAACCUGUUACUAGCUUGAACAAGAAAAUGAUACACAAAUAUGAAAUUGACUUGAGUGAUUUGAAAUUUCAAAUGGUGUCAAACGUUAAAUUAAAGAGUGUUUUUGACAACAACAAAAUAAAUUAAGAACAUUUCAAAUAUUGCUAACUAUUUUUAUAAAAAAUAAUUCCCAAAUAAAUCCUUGAAUUAUAUUAAAAAAUGAAAACAAAGCUUUUGAUUUUUUAUUUAUAAAAUUAAGAUUGUAAAUUUUUAUUUUAUCGUAAUUAUCCUAUUAAAUCUUGAAAAUUAAUUAACAAAAUCAAAUUACCAUAAUUUUAAAAUAAUAUUCUCUCCAAUAUUUGUCACUUAAGUUCAUUUAAAUAAAUUAAAUAAGCAUUUUUUUUUAUAAAUUACAUCAACUGUCUGAACGUUUAGAUUCGUAGACGUAUCGUUAGACAUUGAUUUAAGGAGUCACCAUCAAUAUUUUUUAUUUAGGUACGAUUGGACACCUAACUGAAAUCUAUCUUUUUUUUUAAAAGAAAUCCUAUGUUUGACUUAGGAAUCCUUAAAAGGUAGAUUCAAUAUUUGUGAAACCAGAACCAGGUCCGAAAAUACAGUUACGUGUGAGAAAUGUUAUAACACCCGCACAAUGCCUAUCGAAAGAUGGUGCUAGCUAGAUUUCGCGUUAUCCAUUAAGCCUUAAAAAUUUUACCAAAUAAUUAAUUAUUGAAAAUUAUUCUUAAUUGAUUCAAUUUUUUUUUUUGCAGAAAAUAAAGAAAAUUUUUUCAUUUCAAGAGUAUACAAGAAAAUUACUAUUUCUUUUGUAGAGGCUCCUUUGUCGGAUUAUUUAACAUUAAAAAAUUUUCAAAAAAUGGAAAGAAAAAAAAGAAUAAUGCUUCAAUCUUUGACUGGGAUCUCUUUCAUUAUUUUGUUUUAUUUUAUUUAAAAAAUUCAUGCCUUUAUACAAAAAAAAAUUGAUAUUUUCAACUUUUCUUAAAACAUUUUGAAAUUUUUAUUUUUAAGAAAAAUUGAUACUUUCAACUAUUCCUUAAAAAUAACUUUUAAAAAAUUUUUAAUUUCAAGGAAAAUUGAUACUUUCAACUUUUUCUCAAAAAUAUUUUUUUGAAAUUUUCAUUUUUAAGGAAAAUUGAUACAAAAAAUUAAUACUUUCAACUUUUCUAAAAAAUACCCUAUUUGAAAAUUUUUUUCAAGGAAAAUGAAUACUUUCAAUUUUUUCUCAAAAAUACCUUUUUUUGAAAAUUUUAUUUUCAAGAAAAAUUGAUACUUUCAACUUUUUCCUCGAAAAUACCUUUUUUUGAAUUUUUAUUUUUCAAAAAAAUUGAUACUUUAACUUUUUCCUAAAAAUGUUUCUUGUGGAAUAUAUAUUUUUUUAAAAAUUUAUUUUCUAAAAAAAUUUAUACUUUUAACUUUUCUUUAAAAUCUCUUUUUUAUUAUUGAAGUUUUUUAAGAAAAUUGAUACUUUAACUUUUUCUCAAAAAUUUUUUUGAAAAUUUUUAUUUUUAAGAAAAAUUGAUUCUUUAACUUUUUUUGAAAGUUUAAAAUUAUUUUUAUUUCUAUUAUUUUUUUAGAACAAAGAUUUAUGAAAAAUAAUUAAGUAAAUAAACAAACUAAUACAAGAAAAUACCAAACAAGUCUUAGGCUCGACUUAGCGAAAAAAGCUUAGCUACAAGAGUGAAUUAGGCUCAGUGACUCUUUUUUUGCUUUUUCCUUUCUUCAACCUUAAAAUUCUAGUUUAGAAUCCUGCACUUUUAAAAUUUCAAUCAAGAAUCCUACACCAGAAACUUGCUCUUUGAUCAUCGUCGCUCUGUUAAUGUGAGUCACAAUAAAAUCUUGCACUUGAAACCCUACUCUAUGAUUCUGUUGUUAUACUGACAUGAGUCACAACCACUAUUGCCUUCCUUGCUGCUGCUUAUUAUGAUUGAUCUUAGGUUGAUGGUGGGUUGUCUAUUGGGUUUCAAGUAUUCUAGGUUUUGCGUGAUUGGUUUUUGGUAAUAGGUAUUUGGGCUUCCGGUUACGUCAAUUUUAGUGAUAGUAGGAUUAGGCAAUUUGGUGGGUUGUAAGAUUAAGUAAUUUGGUGAUAAUGGAUUUUUGGCUAGUGGUUUUCUUUCUCUUUGUGUUUUUUGUUAAAUUUUUUUCUGUGAUUUUCUCUUUGCUUGAAUGUGUUGUGUUGAUUAUGAAAAAGGUAGGUUAUGAACUGGGGCUGUUAAAGGUUGUGUUGGGAAUAAUAACCAUGCACGAUGAAAGGCUUAGUGGCCAUGGCUAGAGGAUGAACUUUGUAUUUUUCACUCUGAUUCCUUGGGUUUUACUUUGUAUUUUCACUCUGUGUCUUUUGCUCUGUCAAACCAAGGUUUAAAUAACAUGAUGAAGAUUGAAUUUUAAUUCAAAAAAAUUGAGCAUUUUAUCCCCUAUGAUCUGAAUUUUGAGUUUAAAAAAGGAUAUCCAAAAUUUAAAAAUUUAACCUAAUACUUCAAAUUUCAAACACAGAGUCAUAUCACUUGAUUUAUCCAUUUUUUAUUCUUUUUACUCAUUUUGAAAAUAAUGGUAAAAAUAAAUAAAUAAAAUAAUAAAACAAAUUGAUUAGGUCCAAUGCCCAAUAACCUGAGAUGAAAUAGAGUGUCUGCAGUUGUCCCUCUUUUUGUAGUUUCUGUGAAAUAGGAAUUACGCAAAAAUGUAAACAUCCAUCAUGACCUUAUUCAAGAAAGAAAACACUUUGGUGUGAUUGAAUUAAGCUUGAAAAUGGGAUGACCUGAAGAUAGAUAUAGCAUAGACCAAAAUCAAAACAAAAUGACCUGGAUGGAACCAAAAUCUAAAAUAAAUAACUUGAACUGAACAAAAAAAAAGAUAUGGUAUAGACCAAAAUCCAAAACAAAAUGACCUAAGAAGGAUCUGGCAUAAGCCGAAAUCCAAAACAAAAUGACUUGGAUGGAACCAAAGUCUGAAAUAAUUAACUUGGACUGAAUCAAAGGAGGAUCUAGCAUAGGCUAAAAUCCAAAACAAAAUAACUUGGAUGGAACCGUAGUCUAAAAUAAUUAACUUGGAUUUAAUCGAAGGAGGAUCUAACAUAUGUCAAAAUUCAAAACAAAAUGAUCUGGAUGGAGUCGAAGUCUGAAAUGAUUAACUUGGAUUGAAUCGAAGGAGGAUCUAGCAUAAGUUGAAAUCCAAAACAAAAAUAACCUGGAUGCAAUCGAAGUCUAAAAUAAGUAACUUAGAUUGAAUCGAAGGAGGAUCUAGCAUAAGCUAAAAUCCAAAAUAAAAAUGAUAUGAUGGAACCGAAGUCUAAAAUAAGUAACUUGGAUUGAACCGAAGAAAGGAUCUGGCAUAAGCUAAAAUUCAAAACAAAAUGACAUGGAUGAAACCCAAGUUUGAAUUCACUUAGACUGAACCGAAGGAAGAUCUAGCAUAAGCUAAAAUCCAAAACAAAAUGACCUAGAUGGAACCAAAGUUUGACUUUACAACAAUUUUGAAAUUUCAAAACUUUAAAAGUUCACCAUUUGAAGCAUUCAAAAAUUUCAUAAUAAAAAUUCACAAUAAAAGUUGAAACUCAAAGAUUUACAAUUUAAGUUAAAAAAAAUCACAAAUUUGAAAUUCAAAGGUUUGCAUUUCAAAGAUUCGCAGGAUUCAAAAAUUUGUAAAAAUUUCAUAUUAGCAAGAAUUGAAAAUUUGUAAGAUUUUCAGAUUUGCAAAAAUUUUGAAUUUGCAAGAUUUCAAAUUCGUAAGAAUUGGAUAUUUGUAAGAUUUAAAUUGCAAUUUUUAAAAAUUAAAGAUUCAUAAGAUUUUAAAAAUUCACUAGAAUUAAGAUUUGCAAGAAUUGAAAAUUUGUAAGAACUUAGAUUCACAAGAAAUGAAGAUUUGCAAGAUUUUUCGGUUUACAAGAUUUAAAGAUUCACAAAAUUCAAAUAUUUACAUUUGAAAAACUUCUAGAGAUUCAUAACCAAAACUUCAAAGAUUUUCAUUUUAAAAAUUUUAGUGUUUCACAUUCAACAUUUCAAGGAUUCUAAUUCAAAAACUUUAGGGAUUCACAUAAAAAAAAUUUCAUUUAAAAAUUCUUAGAGAUUAUGCUCGGAGGUUUUACAAAUCAUCCUCAACAUUGAAAAUGCUUCUUCAAAAGGUUUCAUAACUUUAACAUUUGAGAUGUUUUCCUUGUCAAAAAUCUAAUCAUGAAAAAUUUUCCUUAUUUGAGGUUUCAAAAGUUCAAAAUUCUCCUACCAAAGUCAAAAUUUGUAUGAUAAUGAUGCAAAUGCAAUAACCCAGAUUCUUACAACAAUAUAGAUGCCAUACUUUAAAUCAUGAUUCAAAUGUUCACUACAUGAUGCGAAUGCAAUCAUCAAAACAAAUAUUCGAAUAUUCACCAAAUCAUGUACAUUCAUUAUUCAAACAACAAUGUAAUGCAAAUGUCACUAAAAUUAAUACCAUGAAAUUCUAAUUGAUUGUGGUAAUAAGGUUCUCAAGAUUCUACCAUCUCAGAUUCUUUUUUAACUUUCCAGUAGUACCAUUUUCAGAAUCAAUUCACAAAUUUCGUUAAUAGAUCCAUAUUAUUUCUAGCAUUUAGUCACAACUCACAUAUUAUAUUAGUUUAUCCAUCACCAUAUUCACCAUUUGGGUACCACAUUUGCCUUUUCAAAUUAACUUCUCAACCUUCUUUCAUCUUUUUCAUUUUCUUUUUGCCCCUGUUAUCUUGGAUUUCUUUUCAAAUGAAUGUAUGAAUCUUUUAUGGACAUUAUCAUUCAUUUAUUAUUAUUUUAAUUCAUGAAAAAUAUAAUGCAAUCAUAUAUUUUCUCAAUUUAUUCUGGAGAAGCCAAAAUGAGUGAGGGUAAAGUGAAUUGAGAGAAAAAAAAAUCAAUACAAGAACAAGUCUGGUACAAAAAUAAAUAGAUUAAGGAACAAAUUCAAAGCAUGUCACUACGGUAAGUGUUUGAAUGAAUAUUCAAAUAAUUUUUAAUAUAAUCUAGGAUUCUUUUUUAAAAACUCAUUCCAUUGACUUUCAAAAUCAUUUUGAGCUCUCAACACUCCCAGUUUCAGAGAAUCUUCAGAUGACAUUGACCUUUCAUAUAUUGAACCAUCCUUCUAGUUUUCAACUUAGAUUUUUUUACCUAAAUCGCCUUUUCGAAUUUUCAAUUUGAGUCUUCAUUUUCUCUCUUUUUAAUUUUUUUCAUUUUUAAUUUUUCAUUUUCAUUUUUUUUUUUUUUUUCACUUUAUCCAUUAUUAGUAUCCCCAAACAUCAAUCUCUAAAACAUAAGAAUAUAGCACAAUGCCAUUGUUCUAUCACAAGCAUGCCUUAGUCUAACAUAUGAUCAUUCAAUUCAAGCAUUCACAUUCGAUUAAAAUGAACUUUUAACGGUUGUAAUGUAGGUUACGGUAAGGGGUCAUGAAAGAAAUGAAUAAAAUAUGCUCAAGACAGAUGUUUAAAGGGUUCAAACCAAAAGAUCAUUUCCCAUCAUGUGAUGCAACUUGACAUUUUAUCCCAUUCCACAUCAUUUCACUACCUUUUCUUUUUUCAUUUAUCUUAUUCCUCACAAAAGAAUUCUCACUAUUUUGCCCUAAAUCAUUUGUGGCAUUCAUUUUUUUUUGUUGUUUUUUUAUAAGGGGUUCUUUUUUCUUUUCACUCCCUAUCUUUGAGAUCUUUUGUAAUCUAUUAUUUUUUUCCUUUCUAAGUAGGUUUUUUUUCAAAAUUUGCCCCUUGAUAUGGAAGAUGAUCCUUGGUUGGGGCUUUUUAGAAAAAAAAUCAUAAGAGGCUCAAAAGGGGUAGUAAUGGAUGAUUUCAUUUUUAUAAAUCGUAAAAGAAAUAUGGUCAUUUUUCAUCUCAAAUGUGAAUGCCUUCUUUGAAAAUCAUAUUUUGAACAAAGACAAACUGAUUAGAUGCCUCCAAGAUAUGUCUAUUUUUCAUGAAUGAUAUUCGCUCACAGAUUACUUUUUUUUUGCUCAAAUAAUCUUCACAGAUCAAUAUGAAUGAGUUUUCAAAAUUAAAUCUCAAAAUUAUUAUUUAUAAUUGUCCAAACAUUCACCAUUUGGAAUUUAAGAAUGAGAAUAAAAUGGAUAUGAAAAGUAAAAAAAAAUAAUGAUUUGGAUGAAAGAAAAAAUGUAAUGAAAUGCAUCAACUAGCCUUUUAUUAAAAUGAUAAAAAGUGAAAUCUUAUUACAUAAAAGAAAUCUUAGCAUUGCUCUAAAAGAAAUCCAAGCAACUUUCAACCAAUAUCAAUAUCCUUAUUCUUCUUAAAAUUAUGCCUAUGUGUCAUCAGAUAAAGAUUUUCACUGAUAUCUAUCCCUCUAAUUCGUUAAAGCUCACCAAGCAUUUUCGGAUCAAACUUUGUACCUUAUGCUUGAAACAGGACAAGUUUCUAUAGAAUGACCCAUGUUCCCAUUAUGAUAAUCACAUGUGGCAUUAGCAUCAUACCAUUGGGGAGAUGGUGGCUUUAAUGGUUUUAGAAUAAUUGGAGAUACUAUGUUAUUUUUAACCAAUUUUGAGAAUAACUCAAUGUAAGUCAUAGGGAUAGAAUCAAUGUGGACCCUUUCUAGGUUGUUUCAAGAUCUCCUCAAAUUACCCGUUUGGUUGUUAAGCAUUAAAGCUAGUGUAGUAAUAAGAUUGGGCCUAUAUAUAGGUAUUUUGGUCGGUAAGCUGGUUAUGAAAUAGGAUGGUAAGAAAUUGGUGCAACAUGAUUAAUAGCUAUGUAAUAGGCAAGAUAUACUGGUUGUGGGUAUAGAGCAUAACUUCUGAAUUGCUGUCCUUCAAAACUCAUAGCUUGAACUUCAUUUUUAUUUUUUUGGACAUCCUACCUUUCUUUGUACUGGACUUGCUACUCUUAAUGGCAUGCUCUAUCAUUUCCCUGAAGAUCACCAUAGAGGUAAAAUAUUUUGUGGCAUUCCCAAAGAUUUUCUUAUAAUAUGGAGGCUUCAAAAGUACUCAUAAAUAAAAUUACUAUUUCCUUUCCAAUAAGAAUUGGUUGAACUUGAGCAGCUAUAUCUCUCCACUUUUGAGCAUACUCUUUGAAGCUUUCAAAAAGUUUUUUUUUCAUGCUUUAUAGAGAUAGACAAUCUGAAGCUAAGUCUAUAAUGUAUCAGUAUUAGGCAAUGAAUGCUUUUGCCAAAUCAUUUCAGGAAUGGAUACGGUCUCAGUUUAACUGAAUAUAGCACCUCGUGGCUGAGUCAGUAAGACUAUCUUAAAACACAUGCAUUAAGUAAUUUCUUAUCAUAAGCAUGGGCUAUCAUUUUACGAUAGUACAUGGUAAUAUGAGUUAUAAGAUAUUUUCUCCUAUCAUAUUUUUCAAAUUCAAAAACUUUAAAUUUUAAUAAAAUGAUCAUAUUUGAGACUAAAUAGAGUUAAGCUGCAUCUAUAGAGCCAAAAUAAUCUAUUCUUUCGAUAACUUGCACUCUCUCCUUUAAAAGGUUUAUUUGCUGCGUGCAUAAAUCAUCCACCAUCUUAGAAUUCUUUAUGUUCAAUCUUUCUUUCUCUUUAAGAUUAUCAAAAUUAAGAAUCUUAAUUAGAUCAUACGACUUUGCCCCAAAGGUAGGGUUAGUGUAGUUAUGAAAUGGCACUUUAGGAUAUGCCAUAAAAAAUGGCAUCUGUGGGCUUGUGUAUUUUGAAGAGGGCUUUGAGUUAGGCCAAAGACGAAAAGAGUGUAAAAGAUCCACAAUAUCAUGUUUCUCAUUUGAAUUUGAGGUCUUUUUACUAUUUUACCUUUAUCUAAUUUCUCUAGCAUUUCCAUCAUUUUUGCUAAUUCCUCUUUUAUUUCUUCUUAAGCUUUCUCGAUGUUAUCCAUAUGGCUAUUUUGCUCCUGUUCCAUUUGCUUUGUUUGCAAUCGAGUAUUGUAUGGAUUAUGGGUAAGUUGGAUAAGAGUCUUUGAUGGUCAAGCUAUCCUUAAACCUUUGAUUACCAUAAAUUAAGAUGGUUGUAUUACUACAUGCUUAUGUCAUGAAAGAAGGACUAUAAUCUUAAUAUGCAACCACUAAGAUUUCAAGUUAACAUAUGCAAAAUGAAUGUAAAAAAUAUAUGCAACCUAAUGUUAUUUUACUUUAAACGAAAGAAAAAUAGAUGAAAGAAAAAAAAUUCAACUAACAUGCAUUUUUACAUGAUUUCAUGCAACAUGACAUGUACAAAAGUUAAUUUCCACACAAGAAAAAUUAAUCAUUGCAAAAAUGUAACUUAACUGUUGGUUUUUUUCUACAAAAGGGGAAGGUGAAGCUCUAACUACAUGUUAGGUUUCUUAUGGUCACUAUAUGUGGUUUAAGAUUGAUAAUCUAAAGGUUCUCAAAUUAUUUCUCAUAUCCUUGUUCGUAAUAGACUAGUGAGGUACCCCGAUCCUUACCCAUUAGAGGUUACAAGCAGAAAUGGUUCAAUUUGAAUGAGAGUAUUUCACUAGCCACUACGAAAGUAUUAAAACCUCAUGAAAGCAUAGGUAUUUUACUCCCUCUUAAAGGGGCAAAAGUUGAGUAUAAAGCUCAAUAAACAAAGUAAAUAAAUAAAUAAACAAAAAUCUUUUUUAAAAAAUCAAUUUUAUUAGGCUUUUAGAUAACAUAAAUUUAUUUGCUAGCCUGACUUUUGGCAUAUCCUCAACGGAGUCGUUAAACUAUUAUAAUGUCUAGAUCCGUGGACCUAUCGCUAGACAUUGACUUAAAGAGUCACCAUCAGUCUUUUUUAUUUAAGUGCGAUUGACCACCUAACUGAAUAUGUCUUUUUUUAAAAAGAAAUCUUAAGUUUGACUUAGGUAUCCUUAAAAGAUAGAUUUAAUAUUUACGAAAUCAGAACUAGGUUCGAGAGUAUGAUUAUGUAUAAGAAAGCUUAUAGCACUUGCAUAACGCUCAUCGAAAGAUGAUACUAGCUUGAUUUCAUAUUAUCCAUUAAGUCUUAAAAAUUUUACCAAGUAAGUAAUUAUUAAAAUUAUUCAUAAUUGACUCAAUACUUUUAGCAAAAAAUUAAAAAAAUUUUCUCACCUCAAGAGUAUAUAAAAAAAUUACUAUUUCUUUUGCAAAGGCUUUGUUCUCAGAUUAUUUAACAUCAAAAAAUUUUCAAGAAAGAAAAGAAAAAAAAGAAUAAUGCUUCAACCUUUGAUAGGGAUCUCUUUCAUUAUUUUGUUUUAUUUUAUUUAAAAAAGUCAUGCCUUUAUACAAGGAGAAUUGAUACUUUCAACCUUUUCUUUAAGCAUUUUGAAAUUAUUAUUUUAAGAAAAAUUGAUACUUUUAAUUUUUCCUCAAAAAUGCUUUUUUAAAAUUUUUAUUUUCAAGAAAAAUUAAUACUUUAAACUUUUUCUUAAAAAUAUUUUUUUAAAAAAUUUUAUUUUCAAGGAAAGUUGAUACUUUCAACUUUUCCUCAAAAAUAUUUUUUUGAUAUUUAAAUUUGAAAGAAAAAUUGAUUCUUUCAAUUUUCUUCAAAAAUAUCUUUUUUGAAAUUUUUAUUUUCAAGAAAAAUUGAUACUUUUAAUUUUUUCUCAAAAUCAUUUUUUUGAAAAUUUUAUUUUAAAAAAAAUUGAUAUUUUCAACUUUUCCUUAAAAAUAACUUUUUUUGAAAUUUUUAUUUUUAAGAAAAAUUGAUACUUUCAAUUUUUCAUUAAAAAUGUUUCUUGUGAAAUAUAUAUAUAUUUUUAAAAAAUUAUUUUCUAAGAAAAAUUGAUACUUUCAACUUUUCUUUAAAACCCUUUUUUUUUAUUAUUGAAGUUUUUUUUUUUAAGAAAAAUUGAUACUUCCACUUUUCCCUAAAAAUUUUUUUAAAAAUUUUUAUUUUUAAGAAAAAUUGAUUCUUUAACUUUUUUUUGAAAAUUUGAAAUUAUUUUUAAUUUCUAUUAUUAUUUUUUAGAACAAAGAUUUACCAAAAAAAUAAUUAAGCUAAUAAACAAAAUAACACAAGAAAAUACUAAACAAGUCUAGGCUCAGCUUUAUUCAAAAAAGCUUGGCUACAAGAGUGAAUUAGGCUCGGUGGCUCUUUUUCUGCUUUUUCUUUCAACCUCAAAAUUCUAGUCAAGAAUCUUGCACCUUAAAAUUUUCAAUCAAGAAUCCUACACCUGAAACCUUUCUCUUUGAUCGUCAUCACUUUACUAAUGUAAGUUACAAUAAAAUCCUGUACUUGAAACCCUACUCUAUGAUCCUAUUAUUCUGCUGACAUGAGUCACAACCACUAUUGCCUUCCUUACUGUUGCUUAUUAUGACUGAUAUUAGAUUAAUGGUGAGUUGUCUAUUGGGUUUUAGGUAUUUCAUAGGUGAUUGGUUUUUGGUAAUAGAUAUUUGGGCUAUCGGUCAUGCCAAUUUCAAUGGUAGUAGGAUUAGGCAAUUUGGUGGGUUGUAGGAUUAAGUAAUUUGGUGGUAAUGGAUUUUUGGCUAGUGGCUUUCUUUCUCCCUAUGUUUUUUGCUAAAUUCUUUCCUGUGAUUUUCUCUUUGCUUGAAUGUGUUGUGUUAAUUAUGGGAGAAGGUGGGUUAUGGACUGGGGCUAUUAAAGGUUGUGUUAGGAAUAACAACCAUUCAUGGUGAGAGGCUUAGUGGCCGUGGCUAGAGGAUGAACUUUGUAUUUUUCACUCUGAUUCUUCUGGGUUUUACUCUGUAUUGUCACUUUAUGUCUUUCGCUCUAUCGAACCAGGAUUUAAAUAAUAUGAUGAAGAUAGGAUUUCAAUUCAAAAAAACUGAGCAUCUUAUCCCUUAUGAUAUGAAUUUUGAGUUUAAAAAAAGGAUAUCGAAAUUUUAAAAAUUUAACCUAAUACUUCAAAUUUCAAACACAAAAUCUUAUCACUUGAUUUAUCCAUUUUUUUUCCUUUUACUCAUUUUCAAAAUAAUGAUAAAAAUAAAUAAAUAAAAUAAUAAAACAAAUUAAUUAGGUCCAAUGCCCAAUAAUCGGGGACGAAAUAAGGUGUCUACAUUAACCAAUCAAGAAGAUUUAACAAAAAAAAUAGAAUAGUUUAAAAUGUCAAAAUUUUAAUUAUAUAGUAAAAUAAAAGUUCAUAUUAUUAGUUUAAUCUAAUAAAAAAUUAAGUGUUUAUUUGCAUAAAAUUUAGAGUUUAUUUGAAUAUUGUUCUUUUUUAUAGUUAACGUUAUGAAACAAAGUCUACCCAAUAAAAAAUCUCAAUCAUGGCCAUGGCCCAUGGGUUUUUAAAACCUUUAAAGGUCCAUUUGUGAGUAACUUAAUUCUAAGUCCAAGAUAACCUUAAUAUAAAAAUGUUUAUCUCAAAAUAUCAAACUCUUUGUUGAAAAACACCAUAGUAUAUUACACGGUCAUAAAAUGCCCUCAUCCUAAAUUAUAAAAUUGGAUUUAUUGUUAAUUUAUUUUGAAGUUAGGGGAGGCCUCGAAAAUUUUGAACAAAUAUCUACAAUUAUUAUUUUAAAAAUUGCUAUUAUUACUUUGAUAAAAUUAUGUUCUACUGAUCAUGGCACGGUUCAGUUUCUAAAAAUUUCGACUCUAUCAGGUGGAGUGGGCCAGGGCCUAGGUGUAAUGCAAUGCUUGGGCCACGCUUUGAGCCCGAAUAGCAAGUUUUUGUGGGCUCUCCCAUUAAAGUAUUAAUAAUUUACAAAUGGUAAUAACUAAUUUGUAAUUGUUUAAAAUUGGAUAAGUAAAAUAGAAUUUCUCUAAAUGUAUUUUAUCUUUCUUAUAAUAUCUAUAUUUUAGGUAAAGAUUUUUAAUGCCACAUGCCAUGGCAUAUGAAUUGGUAAUGUUAUGUGGAGAAUGCAAUCACCUAUGAAAGUCACACCAGCUAACCUUAACCUCUAAAGGAAGGCUGAGUGAUCAAAAAUUGAAAUUUUACAAAUAUUGGUAAACAAAUCAUAAUUUUUUAUAAUAUAAUUUGUAUGUAAAUGGUUGUAUACUCUUAUAUGUAUUUAGCCUCCACUUAAUUGAAAUCUUGGCUCCGCCACUAUAUUUAAGAGUAAUAUUUUCUUUUAAUAUUGCAUGUCAAAUUUUAUUACUCCAUUAAUAGAGAAUAUUGUUAUGGAUAUCCUUUUUUGUUUUUUUGUGCAAUAUUAUGGAUAUCCUUUGCUUAGGAAUAUCCUUGCUAUAUUUUAUUACAAUUUCAAUUUUUUUAGGGAAUAUCCUUUGCUUUGUUCCGAUACCCCUUACCUAAUGAAAGCGGCAAGCUUAAUUUUUCAAAAUAGUUAAGCAACUAUAUAUAUGUAAUGAUAAAAGUUGUUUCGGCAGCGCACUUCAUGCUUGAUAUUUCCGUUGUCUAAAUUACAUAUGUUAUUUCUUCCUCCUUACAACUAGCAAGCCAUUAGGAUAGGAAGAAUAACACGACGUACGCUUCUUUGGAUGAACCAUCCUGAUCAAAGGAUAAUCACAACAGAAAGGCAGGAGUAUUUCUCUCUCUGUUUCGAAUUCUUUCCUAAAAGCAAUUUUUCUUAUUUUCUUGUCUAGUUUUGGAAAAUGAAGUUUCUUGAGCCUGCCUGAUUAGGUUUCCAUCCUUUGGUUGAACCAUCCUGAUCUAUGAAUCCACACCUGCUUUUUCCUUUUCCUUUUUUUUUUUAAUUUUUAAUUUUUUAUUGGUUGUUAGCAUAUAUAAUUCAUGUCUUGGUUGGCUAGUUUCUUUUGGUAAGUGGGAUCAUAGAGCACUAUGUACAUCCCUCAGAAAGUUUAUGCCAUCUUUGGUUUUGAACGAGAGAAUUAACCCUUUUAGACAAUUCUUUUCAGCUUUGUUUGAAUGUUAAAAUUGAAUAACUGGCUUAGAAUUUCUAGAUAUAUAAGUGACUUUUGAGAAAUAGUAUAUUUGAAACAUAUCUCUUACGUGGUUGGGGACAGCCCAUUUUAGUGUUUAAUCUUCAGCAUCAAUGUGAGAAGCUAUGGAGAUAUAUAGACCUUGUAAGAAAGUGGAAGUCAUCCUUUCCACUCCAAGAAAAUAUUCAUAAAUUUCGAAGUCCUAAAAAUUAUACAAAUAUACAUAAUUCAACCCUAACCAAAAAAAAAAAAAAAUCCCACUACCACCGUUGAACCCACCAACCAAAAUCAAGCCCAAAUUGGAGUUGGACUGAGAAAGAGGUUUCGAUGGUGAGAGGAGAAGAAAGGGAGAGAAAGGGGACCGAGAGAAAGAAAAGAGAGGGAUGAAACGAAGAGGUAGGUGGGGGAAGAAGAAAAGAUAAGAAAUGGUAGGUCAAACCAAAACAACUUAAACCACUAAAAUUGUUAAUUCAAAAUUGAUAAAUAAAUUUGAUUAUAUAUUUUUGAAUUAAUUAUCAAAUAACAUUAUUAUUAUUAUUAUUAUUACAGUUGGUUUUGUUAUUUUUUUAAAUAUAAUAACGUCUAAUAUAUUUUAUCAUUGUUGGUCUCAAUCUGGCAAAGCCAUGGAUGCCCUUGUGGCUGAAAUUUUAACACCAUAUAGACUUUUUGUGAACUUUCUGAUUGUCAUGGCAUAAACCAAGAAUUGUUUUCCUUUAUUUUUGCAUACAGAUGAUUGUUACCUUAUCUGUUUUAAAUUGUGUUGAUAUGAUGUUUUAGUAUAAUUUUUUUUUCAUCUUUUACAAUUUCAAAGUAGAAUCGUUCGAUUUUGAUGGCUUUCGCAAGUGUUCACUCGAUAAACCAAAAUUAUUCGUCUACAUAUGUGAGAUAAUAGUUUUUUUUUUUUUUUGGCAGUAGACCAAUAAUUGAGUUGCUUCCAUUUUCUUACAUACUCUUUUCUCGUUUUCUAUAUCAAAGUCAUCGGUGCUACAGUUGUUUUUUCUGUUUAAAAUUUACGUCUAGAUGAUGUUUAUUAAUAUAUUAAUUGUUUCAUCUUUUAUAAUUUCAAUAAUGAUCGCACAAGCAAUCGUUUGAUUUUGGUGAUUUUUGUGAAUUUUCACUCGAUAACCAAAAUUAUUUGUCUUGAUGCGAUGAUGUUAGUUUUUCUUUUUUGCAAUAAACCAAGUAUUGUUUUGCCCCAAUUUUCUUUCUAACUCUAUUUUUUUUUUAUACGUCAAAGUCAUCGAGCUGCAUAUGAUUGUUACCCUUUUUAUUUUAAUAUUCUGUGGAGGUAAUGGUUAUUUAAUUUUUUAAUCUUUUAAAAUUUCAAUAUUGAUCUUGGGAGGAAUCGUUCGAUUUUGUUAAACUUCCGUGAAUAUUCAUCGGUAGACCAAAAUUAUUUGUCCAAAUGCGAUGAUGUUGUAUUUUUGUUAUCCUCAAUCUCACCUGUUAAUUCCGCACAAUUUCGACAGACUUUCGUAAGUACUGUUACCGUAAACCAAUAGUGGAAAGUGCAUAUCUAGUUUUCAUAUAUUUCUAUGUUUCCUUAGUUUUAAUGUGAUCAUGUCAUAUUAAUUAAAAAAAAGAAUUUCAAAAGAAUUUAAGAAAAAAAAAACUUUUUCCACACAACUUACGUGAAUAUAUCACCUUAUCAAAGUACAAUGACAAAUUUAAAACUUAACCUAAUUGAUUCAUUAAUCUUUUUUAAGAAACGAUAAUAAAUUCAAAAUUUUAAUUUUAAUUUAUGUAAUUUUCUUAUAUACACGUACGACUUUUUUUGUAUUGGAAAAGAAAGUAUAGUGACAAUGUAGAAUGUCACUUGAAAGGGUUAAUUACUUUUAUCAUUGAGUGGCUAAAAAGAUUUAUUGAUCAUGAAAUAUUUUUAUAAAAAGAACAAAUCUGGAAAAUUUAAGUGAAAACAGGGUAAUUUACUCUAAAACAGACAAGACAAUUUACUCUAAAAAAGAAGGGGAAUAGAGCCCAUUUUUGAAAUUUUCAAUUAAAUUUUAUUUUUCUACUUUUGGCCUACCCACUUUAUUACAAUAUUUGUAACUCUCUUUUGCAAUAUGAUGAUGAUUUUUUUAAUAUUAAUUGUUUAAGAAUUUACAUUUUACUAUUUUUAAAAAUUUAUAUUUGAUAAUAUCUACAUUAUUAUUAAUAUUAUCAAUGAAUAAAGGGGUUGGCAAUUCUGAGUGUUCAUAGAUCACAUGAACCACAAUUUGUCACCUCAUCAUUCGAAGUAUUUUUAAAAUGUUUAUUAUUUUAUGAUUCAUGAUUUACUUAAAUGUAUAUAUUUAUAUCCUAAAAAUGUAUUAAAUAUUAAUUCACUUUUAAAAUAUGACUUUCAUCAUGAAAAAAUGUUGUUAAUGAAAUGUUUAUAAUUAUUUAAGGGUUUAAUAAGAGUAGCUUCUCCGCUUACUGCAAAUUCAUUUUAAUAGAAGUUCAUUAUAAAAUAUAGAUCAUACAUUGUUUGAUCAAGCCAUUGCCAAGUUUAGGUGAAGCCAUUUUCAAUCAAAAAUUGUUUGAUUUGGACUUGACUCUAAAUUUAAACUUAGGUCGAGUUUCAGUCGUUUACAUAACUAACUCAAGUUAAGCCAAUCCAAUUAAAGUCGAGCACUAGCAACUUGCUAAAAUUUUUUGCUUACUUUUCUCAUCUUUCUAUACAUUGUAAGUCUUCAAAGUUUUACUUAUUUUAUUUACAUUCAAACUUCUUUUACUUGUUACUAUUAAAUAGCUAUUAGAAAUAAUUGAAAAUAUUCUAAUUUCAAAAAGAUAGUUAUUUACAUAAGCAAUGCAUUUUCCAUUUAUUCAAAAUAAAAAAAAAAGCAGAAGGAUUAAUUAAAUUGUUAGCAUUGAUGAGAUUUGAGAUUUAAAUAAAAUAACCGAAAGUAAAUGAGCUUUUGAUUCAACGAUUAGUGCAUGCAUUUCACUACUAAUUCAUUAGUCGGGUUUAAAAAAAAAAAAUUUCUCUUUAUUUCAGAAAAGGUUUUUUUGACACUAUUUAAAUCUUCAUUAUCAAAAUUUUUUAAAUUCAACCUCAUUUUAGUUUCAAUUUAGUACCAAUUAAAAUGCAAAAAAAAAAAAAAAAAUGGAAACUUUUAAUGAAGUAAUUUAUAUAUAAAAUUUUAAUUCACUAAAAACAUUUAAAGUAAUUUUAAAUCAAACUUGAAAAUAGUUAACCAUUAAAAAUUAACCAAUGAAAACUUUUAUGCAAUGGAAGGAGUGAAAAAAGAAACAAUCGGAAGUCCCAAGGAUGGGAAUAAAUUAAACAUCAUUUCAAAGGCUAAGGUAAAUGAACCUUGGAAGCCCACGCGAUCUGACUCUAUAUAUACAUGAACUCGAGCCCAAAAACGCGGCAACAACAAAACAAGCUCUAGGAAUGAAUAUUGGUCCACCAAACAUGCAAGCAGCAUGCUAUUAGGAAGACGAGGCAAUCUGCACCGGUAAUUAUUGCAAAAAUCAAAAGGUAUUAUUGUUUCAUCCUUCUAAUAAUAUU
This 26791-nucleotide long non-coding RNA is filed under the name Durio zibethinus. RNAcentral describes it as "long non-coding RNA (DZIB_LNC001426)". Lineage: Eukaryota; Viridiplantae; Streptophyta; Magnoliopsida; Malvales; Malvaceae. The record is from RNAcentral.